This 61-nucleotide transfer RNA is filed under the name Puliciphora borinquenensis. Its description in RNAcentral is "tRNA-Arg". Lineage: Eukaryota; Metazoa; Arthropoda; Insecta; Diptera; Phoridae. The record is from RNAcentral.
GAAUAUGAAGCGAUUUAUUGCAAUUAGUUUCGACCUAAUAUUAGAUUUUUAUCCUUAUUCU